RNAcentral lists this ribosomal RNA (719 nucleotides) under Stomacosmethis jagori. RNAcentral's name for it is "partial 28S ribosomal RNA". It matches the Rfam family "Eukaryotic large subunit ribosomal RNA", at positions 402 to 922 of the family's 3401-position model. The record is from RNAcentral. Lineage: Eukaryota; Metazoa; Mollusca; Gastropoda; Architaenioglossa; Alycaeidae.
AAACCGCUAGAGGUAAACGGGUGGAUCCGCAAGUCGGCCUGGCGAAAUUCAGCUCGGAAGGUCGGUCGCGGGCGGCGGGCUGGAGAUCUCGUCGCGGACUCUCCCGUCGCUCGACGCCGGCCGGACGUGUGCACUUUUCGCGGGCAGAGCGCCACGACCGGUUUUCGGGUGGUCAGAAGGCGGCGAGGAAGGUAGGUGGGCGCCUCGGCGUUUGCUGUUAUAGCCUCGCCUGUCCCGAUCCGCUCGGAGACCGAGGAGCCGCCGCUUGGCUCGGGGCUACCCUGCUCUCCUGGAGGAUUCGACUGGCAGAGACUGGGAAACCGUGUCUGCUGACCGUCUUCCCGGACGGACGGGGGUGCUUUCAGCCCGCCAAGCACAGGGUCGGUGGCGAAUCGGUCGGCACUCCACCCGACCCGUCUUGAAACACGGACCAAGGAGUCUAACAUGCGCGCGAGUCGUUGGGUGGUACGAAACCCGAAGGCGAAGUGAAAGCGAGGGCCGUCCUUGCGACGUGCUCAGGUGGGAUCCUGCGCCAGAGAUGGCGCGGGCGCACCACCGGCCCGUCUCGUUCGCGUCGUCGAUGAGGCGGAGCAAGAGCGUGCACGUUGGGACCCGAAAGAUGGUGAACUAUGCCUGAGUAGGAUGAAGCCAGAGGAAACUCUGGUGGAGGUCCGCAGCGAUUCUGACGUGCAAAUCGAUCGUCAAACUUGGGUAUAGGG